UACAGAGGGUGCGAGCGUUAAUCGGAAUUACUGGGCGUAAAGCGUGCGUAGACGGUAGCGUAAGUCAGAUGCGAAAGCCCCGGGCUCAACCUGGGAACUGCAUUUGAGACUGCUCUGCUCGGGUGCGGAAGAGGGAAGCGGAAUUUCCGGUGUAGCGGUGAAAUGCGUAGAUAUCGGAAGGAACACCAGUGGCGAAAGCGGCUUCCUGGUCCGACACCGACGU
This 223-nucleotide ribosomal RNA is filed under the name uncultured bacterium. Its description in RNAcentral is "partial 16S ribosomal RNA". It matches the Rfam family "Bacterial small subunit ribosomal RNA", at positions 524 to 746 of the family's 1533-position model. The record is from RNAcentral.